Molecule: non-coding RNA, 946 nt
Organism: Arachis ipaensis
Lineage: Eukaryota; Viridiplantae; Streptophyta; Magnoliopsida; Fabales; Fabaceae
Source: RefSeq, a predicted model, not a curated record
UCCUGCUCGUGCUGAAAAUGUUCUUGGGUCCGACCGUGGCACAUCGAUACAAUACUUGAUGUUUCUGAUCUGGGGAGAUACCGUUGGCUUUUGUAUAUUUUUAACUGGUUAGAACAGACGAUCAAGAAGUAUCAACUUAAAAACAACAAGUCCUGUAUUGUACUUCCAGAAAUUAAACCAUGGUAAACUUGAGAAUUGUCAAGAAUCGGAGUCUGGCUUUCUACAUGGACUGCGACGGAGCUUAGCACUAUGGCAUCAACUGUUUAAUCAGAGGUGAUAAUCAUAUGGCGGAACCUCAAAGGAUCACCUUACAUGAGCAAGAAGCACCGGAUCUUGUUCUUCAACCACUACAAGCAUAGUAUUCGAAUUUAGAUGCUAAUUUUGAAUUGAAGAAUAGCUUGAUUAAUUUGUUGCCUAAGUAUCAUGGAUUGCCAGGCCAAGAUCCUAUUAGACACUUGAGGGAUUUUCAAGUGGCUUGUUCUACUGUUAGGAGACAUAGCUCUGAUGAAGUUGUUGUUAUGGUCUUUGAUUUUCUCUUCUCUCUUGAGGGGCAAGCAAAUGAGUGAUUUUAUUCUCAACCUAACGAAGUGGUAACCAAUUGGGAUUCAUUGAGAAGGAAUUUCUUGGACAAAUUCUUCCCUCUGGAAAGAACCAAUUACAUUCGGAAGAAAAUCACUGGUAUUAUGCAAAGGGACCAAGAGUCACUCCAUGAUUAUUGGACUAGAUUCAAGAGAUUGUUGGAGUCUUGUCCUCAUCAUAAGAUAGAUGAUCAUUUGCUCAUUAGCUACUUUUGUGAAGGCCUUUGUGCACAAGACAAGAGGCUCCUUGAUGCAUUUAGUGGUGGCUCUCUUGUUAAAUACAAAACAGCGGAUGAAGCAUGGAGAUUGAUUAAUGAUGUUGCCAAAGCUACUCAACAUGCUAGAGUAAGAAAUAAUCCUGCAAAGAG